UGAUCACAGCCGAGCAAAGCUGGUGUAUUGCGCGUGGGGAGCUCGCUCACCAAAGCGCGAUACACCAACUUUGAGAGGCGCCCCUGCAUGAGCAUGAAGCGAUGCGAAGCAGAGCGGGAAUGCGAAUGCAGGGAGGAUUGCGGGAGCGCGAAGCGCGGAGCAAUCCGGUGAUCA
RNAcentral lists this small RNA (174 nucleotides) under Shuttleworthella satelles DSM 14600. Its description in RNAcentral is "Shuttleworthia satelles DSM 14600 Clostridiales-1 RNA". It matches the Rfam family "Clostridiales-1 RNA". The record is from Rfam by way of RNAcentral. Lineage: Bacteria; Bacillati; Bacillota; Clostridia; Lachnospirales; Lachnospiraceae.